GACGAACGCUGGCGGCGUGCUUAACACAUGCAAGUCGAACGGAGAGGCCCUGCUUUUGUGGUUUGCUCGAGUGGCGAACGGGUGAGUAACACGUGAGUAACGUGCCCUUUACUUUGGGAGAACUUCAGGAAACGGGGGCUAAUACCGGAUAGGAGCUCCUGCUGCAUGGUGGGUGUUGUAAAGUUUCGGCGGUUUGGGAUGGACUCGCGGCUUAUCAGCUUGUGGGUGGGGUAGGGGCUUACCAAGGCUUUGACGGGUAGCCGGCCUGAGAGGGUGACCGGCCACAUUGGGACUGAGCUAAGGCCCAGACUACUACGGGAGGCAGGAGUGGGGAAUAUUGCACAAUGGGCGGAAGCCUGAUGCAGCAACGCGGCGUGCGGGAUGACGGCAUUCGGGUUGUAAACCGCUUUCGCGUGUGACGAGGCGUGAGUGACGGUAAUGGGUAAAGAAGCACCGGCUAACUACGUG
Molecule: ribosomal RNA, 468 nt
Filed under: uncultured bacterium
Lineage: Bacteria
Description: partial 16S ribosomal RNA
Rfam family: Bacterial small subunit ribosomal RNA
Source: RNAcentral